GUGUCAGCAGCCGCGGUAAUACGGAGGGUGCAAGCGUUGUUCGGAAUUACUGGGCGUAAAGAGCGUGUAGGCGGCUGAUCAAGUCGGGUGUGAAAGCCCGGGGCUUACCCCCGGAAGUGCGCUCGAAACUGGUCAGCUAGAGUAUGGGAGAGGGAAGUGGAAUUCCUGGUGUAGCGGUGAAAUGCGUAGAUAUCAGGAGGAACACCGGCGGCGAAGGCGGCUUCCUGGACCAAUACUGACGCUGAGACGCGAAAGCGUGGGGAGCAAACAGGAUUAGAUACCCUUGUAGUCC
Molecule: ribosomal RNA, 292 nt
Filed under: uncultured bacterium
Lineage: Bacteria
Description: partial 16S ribosomal RNA
Rfam family: Bacterial small subunit ribosomal RNA
Source: RNAcentral